UCUCCGUUGGUGAACCAGCGGAGGGAUCAUUACCGAGUUUACAACUCCCAAACCCAAUGUGAACAAUACCAAACUGUUGCCUCGGCGGGGUCACGCCCCGGGUGCGUCGCAGCCCCGGAACCAGGCGCCCGCCGGAGGGACCAACCAAACUCUUUCUGUAGUCCCCUCGCGGACGUUAUUUUUACAGCUCUGAGCAAAAAUUCAAAAUGAAUCAAAACUUUCAACAACGGAUCUCUUGGUUCUG
RNAcentral lists this unclassified non-coding RNA (244 nucleotides) under plant metagenome. Its description in RNAcentral is "partial contains small subunit ribosomal RNA, internal transcribed spacer 1, and 5.8S ribosomal RNA". The record is from RNAcentral.